UUAAAUUACCGAGAAUUGUCGUUCAUUCUUGCUUUAGCGACUUGUGCGUGAAGAGCUAAGAAAUUUUCUCGAGCGACAAUUAUUGAUCAUCAAUAAUUAUCUAUCUUGCAUUGCAAUCUUGUUUGUUCAAUUGUCAAGUGUAAACCCAAUCGUUGAUAAGUCGAGAGGCAAUUCCUGGAAAAGCUGUACAUCGCGCCCACCUCGCCUGCGUACAUCUGCGGCUAGAAGGAGGCUGUCCAGGCGGCUGUACAGGAAAGCCCAGCCUUAUCAGCUGCGAGUGAAAAGCUGACAGUUCAUCAGUCUCCAGCAACAUCAACUGGACGACUCUCAACAUUUCCUUUUUAUUUGCCAUAGAUUCCCAUCGUAUAAAUUUACAG
Molecule: long non-coding RNA, 377 nt
Organism: Nasonia vitripennis (jewel wasp)
Lineage: Eukaryota; Metazoa; Arthropoda; Insecta; Hymenoptera; Pteromalidae
Exons: 2
Source: RefSeq, a predicted model, not a curated record